This 1197-nucleotide long non-coding RNA is filed under the name Pan troglodytes (chimpanzee). RNAcentral's name for it is "lncRNA (ENSPTRG00000054334.1)". Lineage: Eukaryota; Metazoa; Chordata; Mammalia; Primates; Hominidae. The record is from RNAcentral.
UUGAGGGAUACCAGCUCCUUGGGCUUCCAUGACCUCACUGGAAAAACAGAAGGAACCCUACCUGCCCUGCCCCUGCCUUUCAGGGUCGUCUGGAAGAGCUGUGAUGUCCAGUGAACAUGAACGUGCUCUGUAACUUGGGAAGGGCAGUGCAGAUGGCAGGGGCGUGUAUACACUUACUCUUCAGGCUGGCUUGUGAGCUCCCAUCUCUCGCCCUCCUCCCCCUGCUCUCCUUUUCUGUGCUGCCCGUUCCCUCUCUGCAAACUGGGAGCUAUUCUGGCCGCAGCCAGUUCCACGUCCCCACUGAGGGCCGCACCCCUGAAUGUUCCCUGUUGUAAAGCUGUGUGGAGGAAGGGAGGAGGCCUUUCUGCGUAUUGUCGUCAUCAGCCCGCGGUGUUCCAGAAGCUGCCAGCAGGGGGCAGUAGCACCACAUGCCUGGGACCCUCCCGGCGCUUCCCGGCCACUGCCCUGGGCUCCGGGGAGGCCACCUCUGCUCCAUCUCCCCAGAAAGCAGGGAUUGAACACAGUAUUUGCUCGCACCUGAGAAGUACUCCACGCUGCAGAAGAUCCUGUGGUGAGGAUGUCAGGGUUCUGUUCUCUGCACUCCUGAGCUUUCCAGGCGUACUGUUAUUUAAUUAUUCAUUCUGCAGUGUUCAUUCAUUCACUCACUGGUUUAUCACACAUUAUCGAGCCUCUACUACAUACCAGGUGUGUAUUCUCUCUCCCUCAGUUAGGGAGGGGGUGUUUCUGGGCUCUAGGAAUAGUCUCACUCCUCCCUCCCAUUUUAUUAUUUAUUUAUUUAUUAUGUUUGGAGAUGGAGUUUCGCUCUGUCACCCAGGCUGGAGUGCCAUCUCGGCUCACAGCAACCUCUGCCUUCCAGGUUCAAGUGAUUCUCCUGCCUCAGCCUCCCGAGUAGCAGGUAUUACAGGUGCCCACCACAACGCCUGGCUAAUUUUUUUUUGUAUUUUUAGUUAGAGACGGGGUUUCACCACAUUGGCCAGGCUGGUCUUGAACCUCCUGACUCCAGGUAAUCUGCCCGCCUUGGGCUCCCAAAAUGCUGGGAUUACAGGUGUGAGCCACUGCACCCAGCCCCUCCUCCCUCCUAAAGAGAACCAGUGGUGGGUCCACAUGUGGGGACAGACAGGGGAGAGUAGGAUGGAGCCAGAGGACAGAGGACCAGCACUGGGGGCCGAGUGGGGC